GAUGCUGCCGUGCGGUACUCGUCAUGGAGCUGGCACUGCGGCGCUCUCCCGUCCCGCGGUGGUUGCUGCUGUUGCCGCUGCUGCUGGGCCUGAGCGCAGGAGCUGUCAUUGACUGGCCCACAGAGGAAGGCAAGGAAGUAUGGGAUUAUGUGACCGUCCGCAAGGAUGCCUACAUGUUCUGGUGGCUCUAUUAUGCCACCAACUCCUGCAAGAACUUCUCAGAACUGCCCCUGGUCAUGUGGCUUCAGGGUGGUCCAGGCGGUUCCAGCACUGGAUUUGGAAACUUUGAGGAAAUUGGGCCCCUUGACAGUGAUCUCAAACCACGGAAAACCACCUGGUGUACAGAGAAGCCAGGCCAAUGUGGAAAUUGGAUGCAUUUCCAAGAAAACUGAUGUGUCCAGACUUUGAGUGUCCUCUGGCUUCUUCGACUCCAGGCUGCCAGUCUCCUAUUUGUGGAUAAUCCCGUGGGCACUGGGUUCAGUUAUGUGAAUGGUAGUGGUGCCUAUGCCAAGGACCUGGCUAUGGUGGCUUCAGACAUGAUGGUUCUCCUGAAGACCUUCUUCAGUUGCCACAAAGAAU
RNAcentral lists this small RNA (579 nucleotides) under Pongo abelii (Sumatran orangutan). Its description in RNAcentral is "processed transcript". Lineage: Eukaryota; Metazoa; Chordata; Mammalia; Primates; Hominidae. The record is from RNAcentral.